This 75-nucleotide transfer RNA is filed under the name Coprinellus micaceus. It matches the Rfam family "tRNA". Rfam says of the family: Transfer RNA (tRNA) molecules are approximately 80 nucleotides in length. Their secondary structure includes four short double-helical elements and three loops (D, anti-codon, and T loops). Further hydrogen bonds mediate the characteristic L-shaped molecular structure. tRNAs have two regions of fundamental functional importance: the anti-codon, which is responsible for specific mRNA codon recognition, and the 3' end, to which the tRNAs corresponding amino acid is attached (by aminoacyl-tRNA synthetases). tRNAs cope with the degeneracy of the genetic code in two manners: having more than one tRNA (with a specific anti-codon) for a particular amino acid; and 'wobble' base-pairing, i.e. permitting non-standard base-pairing at the 3rd anti-codon position. The record is from Rfam by way of RNAcentral. Lineage: Eukaryota; Fungi; Basidiomycota; Agaricomycetes; Agaricales; Psathyrellaceae.
GGCCGACUAGCUCAGUUGGUUAGAGCGUCGUGCUAAUAACGCGAAGGUCUUGGGUUUCGAUCCCCACGUUGGCCA